Molecule: long non-coding RNA, 1287 nt
Filed under: Homo sapiens (human)
Lineage: Eukaryota; Metazoa; Chordata; Mammalia; Primates; Hominidae
Description: long non-coding RNA NONHSAT159818.1
Source: RNAcentral
GCGCAAAGAGCUCAGCCACUACACGGCCUCUUUUGCCUACACACCGGCAGUGUCCUUCCCGCACUCAGAGGGCCUCUCUGGAGCCAGUUCCAGGCCACCCAUGGGCCUUGGCCCCGCCCCCUACUCAUGGCUGGCAGAUUCGUGGCCCCACCCAUCUCGAAGCCCCUCGGCCCAGGAACCCAGGGGAAGCUGCUGCCCUAGCAAUCCUGACCCGGACGACAGAUAUUACAACGCUCAGAGCCAGAGGAGUGGUGCCCGCCAAUGCCUGAGAGAAGUCACCUGACGGAGCCCAGCUCCAGUGGAGGGUGCCUGGUCACCCCAUCCCGAAGGGAAACCCCCUCUCCCACACCUUCCUAUGGACAGCAGUCCACAGCCACUCUUACACCCUCACCUCCUGACCCUCCCCAGCCCCCAACUGACAUGCCCCAUCUCCAUCAGAUGCCCAGGAGGGUGCCCCUUGGGCCGAGUUCCCCUCUCAGUGUAUCCCAGCCCAUGCUGGGCAUCCGUGAAGCGAGGCCUGCUGGCUUGGGUGCUGGCCCUGCAGCCUCACCCCACCUCAGCCCCAGUCCUGCCCCUAGCACAGCCAGCAGUGCCCCAGGCAGAACCUGGCAGGGGAAUGGGGAGAUGACUCCCCCACUUCAAGGACCCCGUGCUCGAUUCCGGAAGAAACCCAAGGCUCUUCCCUACAGGAGGGAGAACAGUCCUGGGGACUUGCCCCCACCACCCUUGCCACCGCCAGAGGAAGAGGCGAGCUGGGCCCUAGAGCUGAGGGCAGCAGGCAGCAUGUCCUCCCUGGAGCGGGAGCGCAGUGGGGAGAGGAAAGCGGUCCAGGCCGUGCCCCUGGCAGCCCAGCGGGUGCUCCACCCAGAUGAAGAGGCCUGGCUCCCAUACAGCAGACCAAGCUUCCUGUCCCGGGGCCAGGGCACCAGCACAUGUUCCACGGCCGGCAGCAACUCUUCCAGGGGCUCCAGCAGCUCUAGGGGCUCCCGGGGCCCUGGCCGGAGCCGGAGUCGGAGUCAGAGCCGGAGCCAGAGCCAAAGGCCAGGACAGAAACGCCGAGAGGAACCAAGAUGACCCUUGUUGGGGCAUUGAGAAUAUCAUGAGUGCCACGGGGAAGGGGAGUAGGGAUGUCUUUUCCCCCCCAGCAGUGAUGAGUGGGGCUAGCUGAAGCCCAUUGGUUUCCACGAUUUCAAUUGGCUGAGAAGGCAGAGAGCUAGCUCCUCCCUUUCUUUCUUUUUCCACCUGAGACUUGUUUAUAAAAAACAAAACAAUAAAAAGAGUCUGAUC